RNAcentral lists this ribosomal RNA (324 nucleotides) under uncultured Hydrogenophaga sp. RNAcentral's name for it is "bacterial SSU rRNA". It matches the Rfam family "Bacterial small subunit ribosomal RNA", at positions 1052 to 1382 of the family's 1533-position model. The record is from RNAcentral. Lineage: Bacteria; Pseudomonadati; Pseudomonadota; Betaproteobacteria; Burkholderiales; Comamonadaceae.
GUGUCAGCUCGUGUCGUGAGAUGUUGGGUUAAGUCCCGCAACGAGCGCAACCCUUGCCAUCAGUUGCUACGAAAGGGCACUCUGAUGGGACUGCCGGUGACAAACCGGAGGAAGGUGGGGAUGACGUCAAGUCCUCAUGGCCCUUAUAGGUGGGGCUACACACGUCAUACAAUGGCCGGUACAAAGGGCAGCCAACCCGCGAGGGGGAGCCAAUCCCAUAAAGCCGGUCGUAGUCCGGAUCGCAGUCUGCAACUCGACUGCGUGAAGUCGGAAUCGCUAGUAAUCGUGGAUCAGCAUGUCACGGUGAAUACGUUCCCGGGUCUU